Molecule: ribosomal RNA, 370 nt
Filed under: uncultured bacterium
Lineage: Bacteria
Description: bacterial SSU rRNA
Rfam family: Bacterial small subunit ribosomal RNA
Source: RNAcentral
GGAGGGAGCUAGCGUUGUUCGGAAUUACUGGGCGUAAAGCGUACGUAGGCGGUUAUUCAAGUCAGAGGUGAAAGCCCGGGGCUCAACCCCGGAACGGCCUUUGAAACUAGGUAGCUAGAAUCUUGGAGAGGUCAGUGGAAUUCCGAGUGUAGAGGUGAAAUUCGUAGAUAUUCGGAAGAACACCAGUGGCGAAGGCGACUGACUGGACAAGUAUUGACGCUGAGGUACGAAAGCGUGGGGAGCAAACAGGAUUAGAUACCCUGGUAGUCCACGCCGUAAACGAUGAUAACUAGCUGUCCGGGCACUUGGUGCCUGGGUGGCGCAGCUAACGCAUUAAGUUAUCCGCCUGGGGAGUACGGUCGCAAGAUUA